Molecule: ribosomal RNA, 253 nt
Filed under: uncultured bacterium
Lineage: Bacteria
Description: partial 16S ribosomal RNA
Rfam family: Bacterial small subunit ribosomal RNA
Source: RNAcentral
UACGUAGGUGACAAGCGUUGUCCGGAUUUACUGGGCGUAAAGAGCGCGCAGGCGGUCGAUCAAGUCGAGUGUGAAAGCCCCCGGCUCAACUGGGGAGGGUCAUUCGAUACUGAUCGACUCGAAGGCAGGAGAGGGAAGUGGAAUUCCCGGUGUAGUGGUGAAAUGCGUAGAUAUCGGGAGGAACACCAGUGGCGAAGGCGACUACCUGGCCUGUUCUUGACGCUGAGGCGCGAAAGCUAGGGGAGCAAACGGG